Molecule: ribosomal RNA, 456 nt
Filed under: Streptococcus sp. oral taxon C65
Lineage: Bacteria; Bacillati; Bacillota; Bacilli; Lactobacillales; Streptococcaceae
Description: bacterial SSU rRNA
Rfam family: Bacterial small subunit ribosomal RNA
Source: RNAcentral
GACGAACGCUGGCGGCGUGCCUAAUACAUGCAAGUAGAACGCUGAAGGGAGGAGCUUGCUCUUCUUGAAUGAGUUGCGAACGGGUGAGUAACGCGUAGGUAACCUGCCUUGUAGCGGGGGAUAACUAUUGGAAACGAUAGCUAAUUCCGCAUAACAAUGGGUGACACAUGUCAUUUAUUUGAAAGGGGCAAUUGCUCCGCUACAAGAUGGACCUGCGUUGUAUUAGCUAGUAGGUGAGGUAACGGCUCACCUAGGCGACGAUACAUAGCCGACCUGAGAGGGUGAUCGGCCACACUGGGACUGAGACACGGCCCAGACUCCUACGGGAGGCAGCAGUAGGGAAUCUUCGGCAAUGGGGGCAACCCUGACCGAGCAACGCCGCGUGAGUGAAGAAGGUUUUCGGAUCGUAAAGCUCUGUUGUAAGUCAAGAACGAGUGUGAGAGUGGAAAGUUCACA